AGAGUUUGAUUCUGGCUCAGAAUGAACGCUGGCGGCAUGCCUAACACAUGCAAGUCGAACGAAGGCUUCGGCCUUAGUGGCGCACGGGUGCGUAACGCGUGGGAAUCUGCCCCUUGGUUCGGAAUAACAGUUAGAAAUGACUGCUAAUACCGGAUGAUGACGUAAGUCCAAAGAUUUAUCGCCGAGGGAUGAGCCCGCGUAGGGUUAGCUAGUUGGUGUGGUAAGAGCGCACCAAGGCGACGAUCCUUAGCUGGUCUGAGAGGAUGAUCAGCCACACUGGGACUGAGACACGGCCCAGACUCCUACGGGAGGCAGCAGUGGGGAAUAUUGGACAAUGGGCGAAAGCCUGAUCCAGCCAAUGCCGCGUGAGUGAUGAAGGCCUUAGGGUUGUAAAGCUCUUUUACCCGGGAUGAUAAUGACAGUACCGGGAGAAUAAGCUCCGGCUAACUCCGUGCCAGCAGCUGC
This 465-nucleotide ribosomal RNA is filed under the name uncultured bacterium. RNAcentral's name for it is "bacterial SSU rRNA". It matches the Rfam family "Bacterial small subunit ribosomal RNA", at positions 8 to 518 of the family's 1533-position model. The record is from RNAcentral.